CCAUGAGAGCUGCACAGAUAUGAGACAUUAAACUUUGACAUGCAGUCAAUACUUGUCAAUACUGUUGCUGUGCAGCAGACAUGUUUUUAACAAGAACACACUUUCAAAGAAAAUGACUUCUAGCUUGAAGACAGCGAAGACAGAUCAGUGCUUACCGACACCUCUGGUGAAAGCUACCACAUGCCACUGUCCACAGGCAUCCAGUCUUCAGGAUGCUCCUUCUACAGCUUCCACAAAAGCUCUACCUGGAAAAAGAAUGACACUCAUAGAGCAGCUUAAAGUACAGAAGAAUAACAAUUCUGGGAAUGCUCAGGUGGAGCACAUCCACAAGCUCCGGGCUCCUACUCCACCUACUGUCCCCAGAAGAGGACGAAGGCUGCUGCCAGCCCAGCAGGAGAGUCUAGAGAGUAUAGCGGCUCAUCAGCCCGACAUCAACACAUCAUGCGGGACUCGGUGGGUGACUGAGUAUGUGGAAAACUUUGGCUUGUCGCAACCUGUCCGCGUACCUCCGGUGAAAACUGCAAACUGGAAGGCCUCGAUCUUUUAUAGCACACAUAACCAUCAUUCUGCAGACAAGUGUCACCACACCGAAUACCAGGCCCUCUACAGUCCUGAGACAGAUCAGUGCUUACCGCCACCUCUGGUGAAAGCUACCGCAUGCCACUGUCCACAGGCAUCCACUCCUCCUCCUACAGCUUCCACAAAAGCUCUACCUGAAAAAAGAAUGACACUCCUAGAGCAGCUUAAAGUACAGAAGAAUAACACUUCUGGGAGUGCUCAGGUGGAGCACGUCCACAAGCUCCGGGCUCCUACUCCACCUACUGUCCCCAGAAGAGGACGAAGGCUGCUGCCAGACCAGCAGGAGAGUCUAGAGAGGAUAGCGGCUCAUCAGCCCGACAUCAACACACCAUGCGGGACUCGGUGGGUGACUGAGUAUGUGGAAAACUUUGGUUUGUCGCAACCUGUCCACUUACCUUGUGCUUCGAAGAAAUCUGCACGCCGUUUGGUCUCGACCUUUCGGAGAAUACCUAACCCUCAUUUUGCAGACAAGUAUCAACGCUCUGAAUACCAGGCCAUCUAUGGUCCUGAGAUUCGCACCGCACAAUUCAACCUUACUCGGUACCGACAGCUCCAUGGAACAGCUUAAAAAGGCAUUUUAUCAGAUACCUUAUCAGGUCGCUCCACCCUAAUUCGACGUGCUGACGUGGUGCAUGGGGAUUGGAGAGAAGAAGAUUGUGCGUCUUUUAAAAAGGAGGAAGAACGUUAUGUCGGCAGGAAUACAGAUAUGUGGUGUGUCUGUGAUUGCGCUGUGAUGAGAAGUGAUAAGUCUACUGUCCAUGGGGUGGACAGGCAGGGAAUAGGAUGGACUGCUGCUGUCAAGUCUGGGCGAGGAAAUGACUACGGGAGUCCUAGAGCUGCUCAGAACUGCUCAGUAAAUGGAUGUCAGCUGAUCACUGAUGGCUGUAUUUAGUUCGGACUCAACAGAUGAUGUUUAGGAUCAGUCUUUAGAGCAAUUUUGUGAGUGGAAAACUCAAAUGCACUUCAGAACUUGAGAAAUGAGUGACAGGUGACAGAUAAGGCCCUCUGUGCUCUCAGUGACUGGGCAGCCAACACCAGCAAGACAUGGACAAUACUGAUGCUUGGGUAGAUGAUACUCCAACCAAUUGUUGUUGUUUAAAAUAGAACAGAUGUCAUGACCCUCGUCCGCAUCCUCAUCACUCUCCACAGUCAUUGCCUCAGCACUCAUCACCUCUUGCUGACUCUGUUCACUAUACACUUUAAAUGCUUUGAUAAAAUUUAAUCCAUUAUCAGUUGUCGUUCUCACUAUCUUUUCUAUGAUGCUGUAUUCAGAAUGGAUGUCAUCUGUGGACAAAUCAAAGGUAUGUGAACUUUUCAAGUGUCUGAAGGCAAUGGAGGCAGACCUUCUUUCUAUUAGUCCUCUUAGUUCUGUUUUUACCUGGCUGUAGAUUCAUCGAUCCAGUGUGCUAUUACACCCAUUUAACUCUGUUGUCAUGCUGUCCUACAAUCAGUAGUGGUAGCUAUAUACAGUUGAGGUCAUAAGUUUGCAUACCCCUUGUAGAAUCUGCAAAAUGUUAUUUUUAUUUUUAUUUUUUUUUAAAUAAGAGGGAUCAUAAGAAUUGCAUUUUGUUUUUUUAUUUAGUACUGCCCUGAAUAAGAUAUUUCAUGUAACGGAUGUUUACAUAUAGUCCACACAACACAAUAAUAACUGAAUUUAUACAAUUAAAACAGGUCAAAAGUUUACAUACGCUUGGUUGUUAAUGCUGUGUGUUAUUACCUGGAUGAACAACGACUGUUUUUAUGUUUUGUGAUAGUUGUUCAUGAGUCCCUUGUUUGUCCUGAGCGGUUAAGCUGCCCACUAUUCUUCAGAAAAAUCCUCCAGGUCCUUCACGUUAUUUGCUUUUCCAGCAACUUCUGCAUAUUUGACCAGUUUCCAGCUGUGGCUAUAUGAUGUUUAAGAUCCAUCUUUCUUUUCCUGCAAGAAACCCUGCUUUAUGUCCUUUAAGAAAGAAAUGGAUCAUUGUAUUGACUCAGUUUGAUUUUCUGUAAAACAAAAAGCAACUAAAA
Molecule: RNA transcript, 2586 nt
Organism: Ictalurus furcatus (blue catfish)
Lineage: Eukaryota; Metazoa; Chordata; Actinopteri; Siluriformes; Ictaluridae
Exons: 14
Source: RefSeq, a predicted model, not a curated record